Molecule: non-coding RNA, 91 nt
Organism: Xylaria acuta
Lineage: Eukaryota; Fungi; Ascomycota; Sordariomycetes; Xylariales; Xylariaceae
Source: the annotation of a GenBank genome assembly
GGUUCCGUGGCCCAACUCAAUGGUAGGGCGCUGGAUUUCGGCGGCAAUGAAAAGCCUCUGGAGAUUAUCGGUUCAAGUCCGGCCGGGAUCG